UUUUUCUUCAGUUUCUUCUUCCGAUUUUUUUCUCAAAGUAAAAAGGCACAAAUCUUCCCCAAUUUUCCUCCGGCGAAAUUGAAACUCCGACCACCGCCGAUCCUCCGUUGACUCUGUUUCGACGGUGAAGAUGAACCAAAGUCAAGGUCAACAAACAAGUGAAGGAAGACACGAGGAUGAUGCUGUUCUAGCCGAUUUCCUUGCUUCCUUGAUGGACUAUACUCCCACUAUUCCUGAUGAAUUGGUGGAGCAUUACUUGGGUAAAAGUGGA
RNAcentral lists this unclassified non-coding RNA (271 nucleotides) under Hevea brasiliensis (rubber tree). The record is from RNAcentral. Lineage: Eukaryota; Viridiplantae; Streptophyta; Magnoliopsida; Malpighiales; Euphorbiaceae.